RNAcentral lists this ribosomal RNA (463 nucleotides) under uncultured bacterium. Its description in RNAcentral is "partial 16S ribosomal RNA". It matches the Rfam family "Bacterial small subunit ribosomal RNA", at positions 28 to 507 of the family's 1533-position model. The record is from RNAcentral.
GACGAACGCUGGCGGCGUGCUUAACACAUGCAAGUCGAACGGUGAACCCCUUCGGAGGGGGUCAGUGGCGAACGGGUGAGUAACACGUGGGCAACUAACCCCCGGCUCUGGGAUAACCCAAAGAAGUUGGGGCUAAUACCGGAUGGUCACCGCUUCCCGAGUGGGGGGUGGUGGAGCGGGUGUUCGGCUAGGGAUGGGCCCGGGGCCUGGCAGAUUGCUGGGGGGGUAGGGCCCUACGAAGGCGACGGCGGGUCGCCGGCCUGGAAGGGUGACCGGCCACACUGCGACGGCGCCUACGGGCAGAAGCAGUGGGGAGGCAGCAGUGGGGAAUGUUGCGCAGAGGCCGCGAGGCUGACGCAGCGACGCCGCCUGGGGGAUUACAGCCUUCUGGUUGUAACCCUCUUUCCACAGGGACGAAGCGGAAGUGACGGUACCUGCAGAAGAAGCACCGGCUAACUACGUG